RNAcentral lists this ribosomal RNA (654 nucleotides) under uncultured archaeon. RNAcentral describes it as "bacterial SSU rRNA". It matches the Rfam family "Archaeal small subunit ribosomal RNA", at positions 508 to 1160 of the family's 1478-position model. The record is from RNAcentral.
GCCUAAAGCGUCCGUAGCCUGAUCUAUAAGUUUCCGGUUAAAUCCACAUGCUCAACAUUUGGGCUGCCGGAAAAACUGUAGAUCUAGGGAGUGGGAGAGGUAGACGGUACUCGGUAGGAAGGGGUAAAAUCCUUUGAUCUAUUGAUGACCACCUGUGGCGAAGGCGGUCUACCAGAACACGUCCGACGGUGAGGGAUGAAAGCUGGGGGAGCAAACCGGAUUAGAUACCCGGGUAGUCCCAGCUGUAAACUAUGCAAACUCAGUGAUGCAUUGGCUUGAUGCCAAUGCAGUGUUGCAGGGAAGCCGUUAAGUUUGCCGCCUGGGAAGUACGUACGCAAGUAUGAAACUUAAAGGAAUUGGCGGGGGAGCACCACAAGGGGUGAAGCCUGCGGUUCAAUUGGAGUCAACGCCAGAAAUCUUACCCGGAGAGACAGCAGAAUGAAGGUCAAGCUGAAGACUUUACCAGACAAGCUGAGAGGUGGUGCAUGGCCGUCGCCAGCUCGUGCCGUGAGAUGUCCUGUUAAGUCAGGUAACGAGCGAGAUCCUUGCCUCUAGUUGCCACCAUUACUCUCAGGAGUAGUGGGGCGAAUUAGCGGGACCGCCGUAGUUAAUACGGAGGAAGGAAGGGGCCACGGCAGGUCAGUAUGCCCCGAA